Molecule: ribosomal RNA, 496 nt
Filed under: uncultured bacterium
Lineage: Bacteria
Description: partial 16S ribosomal RNA
Rfam family: Bacterial small subunit ribosomal RNA
Source: RNAcentral
GAUGAACGCUGGCGGCGUGCCUAAUACAUGCAAGUCGAGCGAACAGACGAGGAGCUUGCUCCUCUGACGUUAGCGGCGGACGGGUGAGUAACACGUGGAUAACCUACCUAUAAGACUGGGAUAACUUCGGGAAACCGGAGCUAAUACCGGAUAAUAUAUUGAACCGCAUGGUUCAAUAGUGAAAGACGGUUUUGCUGUCACUUAUAGAUGGAUCCGCGCCGCAUUAGCUAGUUGGUAAGGUAACGGCUUACCAAGGCAACGAUGCGUAGCCGACCUGAGAGGGGGAUCGGCCACACGGGAACUGAGACACGGUCCAGACUCCUACGGGGGGCAGCAGUAGGGAAUCUUCCGCAAGGGGGGAAAGCUUGACGGAGCAACCCCGGGUGAGUGAAGAAGGUUUUCGGAUCGUAAAACCCUGUUAUUAGGGAAAAAAAAAUGUGUAAGUAACUAUGCACCUUUUGACGGUACCUAAUCAAAAAGCCACGGCUAACUAAGU